AGUGAACGCUGGCGGUAGGCCUAACACAUGCAAGUCGAACGGCAGCACAGUAAGAGCUUGCUCUUACGGGUGGCGAGUGGCGGACGGGUGAGGAAUACAUCGGAAUCUACUUUUUCGUGGGGGAUAACGUAGGGAAACUUACGCUAAUACCGCAUACGACCUACGGGUGAAAGCAGGGGAUCUUCGGACCUUGCGCGAUUGAAUGAGCCGAUGUCGGAUUAGCUAGUUGGCGGGGUAAAGGCCCACCAAGGCGACGAUCCGUAGCUGGUCUGAGAGGAUGAACCGGCACCCUGGAGCGACGACACGUUCGAGACUGCGGGGGGGGGGAUGAGGUGGGAAUGUUGGAUGUUGGGCGCAAGCCUGUUGUCGCAAUCCCGGGUGUGUUAGGAAGGCCUCCGGUUGGUAAUGCCUGGUUGUUGGGAAAGAAAAGCAGCAGGUUACCGCCCCUGUGUCCUGACGUUACCAAAAGAACAAGCACCGGCUAAUUGCGUGCCAGCGGCCGCGGCAAAGGCGCGAAAAAACACAAGCCUGAGC
RNAcentral lists this ribosomal RNA (534 nucleotides) under uncultured bacterium. RNAcentral describes it as "partial 16S ribosomal RNA". It matches the Rfam family "Bacterial small subunit ribosomal RNA", at positions 37 to 537 of the family's 1533-position model. The record is from RNAcentral.